UCUGUACCAUAAGUCAUCCUUGCGGGGGUUGUCGGAACUGUAUGCGCAGUCGCACUAAGGACAGAUGUGCUCAGAGGCAUGCCCCGUAACGUGUAUGAGCGGUCUGUCGUGCGGCAGGAAUAAGUUGUACAAAGUCCAUCUUAGACAUGUGUGUCACGCAAGCUAGCAGCAUCCCAUGAGAAACGGGCCGAAGUGUUUAAGUGUUCACCGGAGUUUGCACCCUUGGCAAGCGGAAUGAGUUUUCACGGUGCUCAAUGUCCAGAGAAUGAGCCGUGUGUGGUGAGGAAAUAAAUGGCUGCACCCGUCAGAGACUCUUCUGUCGUUCUUGAU
Oreochromis niloticus (Nile tilapia) is the source of this 330-nucleotide long non-coding RNA. RefSeq lists it as uncharacterized. The record is from RefSeq and is a predicted model, not a curated record. The transcript is spliced from 3 exons. Lineage: Eukaryota; Metazoa; Chordata; Actinopteri; Cichliformes; Cichlidae.